GUCAAUAUAACCAGAUUGCUAUCCCUAGAUCCGUGAGUGAAAAAAUUUAAAUAUUUUCAAUUACUAAUAAAUUGAUUAUACUAUUACGUUAUGUGGGAUUAUGUGAAUUAUUUCGGCUACAUGAUUAUCGAUAAAUGUUCUCUCACUAUGAUAUAUGUGGAAUUACAAAGAUUAUAUGUGGGUUACUUGUGAAUUAGAAUAUGAGACAUGUUUUAUUGACAGCUACUAGAGCACGGCAUGCAAUUGUGUUGGCCACAAGUGAGACUUCUCAAGUGAUCGCAAGGGUGGUUAUAGGAUGUGAUCAUGGGAGGAUUGACCACUUGCUUGUGCCAUUGUGAUAUGGUGAUUUUUAGUAUCUCGGGUGGUAUACUUCCUCGCUAAUCAUUGGGGCUAUCAGGUGAUGUACCUCUAAUGAUCACAAGAUGAUGGUCCUCUCAACUGUGAUAUUGUGAUUAUUGUCAUCUUGAGUGGGAUACUUCUUGUGUGACCAUGGAGCCGUUAGGGGAUGUACUUCUGAUGAUCACAGGAGGAUGGGCCACUCGACUCUACCCAGCUGAUUAUUGAUUACUGAUGUUGAUAUUACAUUAUUUUCAAACUUAUCCAUUCAUUAAGCUAUCAACUCAUAUAUUUUCUUAUAAUUUUUCCUACAUGUAGCAAUUGGUUUUUGAUAGCAUGAGGAGCUUGAUAAUUUUAGAGUUAGAGCUACACGACAUAUUGAGU
This 720-nucleotide long non-coding RNA is filed under the name Olea europaea subsp. europaea. Lineage: Eukaryota; Viridiplantae; Streptophyta; Magnoliopsida; Lamiales; Oleaceae. The record is from RNAcentral.